AUUGAACGCUGGCGGCAGGCCUAACACAUGCAAGUAGAACGAGUGGCAGACGGGUGAGUAAUGUAUGGGAAACUGCCAGAUGGAGGGGGAUAACUACUGGAAACUGUAGAUAAUACCGCAUAACAUCGUGUGUGCCCAGAUGGGAUUAGCUAGUAGGUGGGGUAAUGGCUCACCUAGGCGACGAUCUCUAGCUGGUCUGAGAGGAUGACCAGCCACACUGGAACUGAGACACGGUCCAGACUCCUACGGGAGGCAGCAGUGGGGAAUAUUGCACAAUGGGCGCAAGCCUGAUGCAGCCAUGCCGCGUGUAUGAAGAAGGCCUUCGGGUUGUAAAGUACUUUCAGCGAGGAGGCGUUACUCGCAGAAGAAGCACCGGCUAACUCCGUGCCAGCAGCCGCGGUAAUUC
This 406-nucleotide ribosomal RNA is filed under the name uncultured bacterium. Its description in RNAcentral is "partial 16S ribosomal RNA". It matches the Rfam family "Bacterial small subunit ribosomal RNA", at positions 30 to 526 of the family's 1533-position model. The record is from RNAcentral.